UACGUAGGGUGCGAGCGUUGUCCGGAAUUAUUGGGCGUAAAGAGCUCGUAGGCGGCUUGUCGCGUCGGAUGUGAAAGCCCGGGGCUUAACUCCGGGUCUGCAUUCGAUACGGGCAGGCUAGAGUUCGGUAGGGGAGAUCGGAAUUCCUGGUGUAGCGGUGAAAUGCGUAGAUAUCAGGAGGAAUACCGAUGGCGAAGGCAGGUCUCUGGGCUGACACUGACGCUCAUGCACGAAAGCGUGGGGAGCAAACAGG
This 253-nucleotide ribosomal RNA is filed under the name uncultured bacterium. Its description in RNAcentral is "partial 16S ribosomal RNA". It matches the Rfam family "Bacterial small subunit ribosomal RNA", at positions 524 to 776 of the family's 1533-position model. The record is from RNAcentral.